UGGAGGCAGCAGUGAGGAAUUUUGCACAAUGGGGGAAACCCUGAUGCAGCAACGCCGCGUGGAGGAUGAAGUCCCUUGGGAUGUAAACUCCUUUCGACCGGGACGAUUAUGACGGUACCGGUGGAAGAAGCCCCGGCUAACUCUGUGCCAGCAGCCGCGGUAAUACAGAGGGGGCAAGCGUUGUUCGGAAUUAUUGGGCGUAAAGGGUGCGUAGGCGGUGCGGUAAGUCUUCUGUGAAAUCUCCGGGCUCAACUCGGAGCCUGCAGGAGAAACUGCCGUGCUUGAGUAUGGGAGAGGUGAGUGGAAUUCCUGGUGUAGCGGUGAAAUGCGUAGAUAUCAGGAGGAACACCUGUGGCGAAAGCGGCUCACUGGACCAUAACUGACGCUGAGGCACGAAAGCUAGGGGAGCAAACAGGAUUAGAUACCCUGGUAGC
This 434-nucleotide ribosomal RNA is filed under the name uncultured bacterium. RNAcentral's name for it is "bacterial SSU rRNA". It matches the Rfam family "Bacterial small subunit ribosomal RNA", at positions 343 to 794 of the family's 1533-position model. The record is from RNAcentral.